Ruditapes philippinarum (Manila clam) is the source of this 360-nucleotide long non-coding RNA. RefSeq lists it as uncharacterized. The record is from RefSeq and is a predicted model, not a curated record. Lineage: Eukaryota; Metazoa; Mollusca; Bivalvia; Venerida; Veneridae. The transcript has 3 exons.
UUGAAGUUUUGUUUUGUAGUGAGCAAAGCAAAACUUUUACGCGUAUCGGUGAGGUGUAUUUUUUAUAAAGUAACUGAAGAUGUUUCAAAUCAUAAGAAUUGUUUAUUAAUUCAAAAUGUAGAGGCAAUCAUUGUAUUCAUCAUAUAUUAUAAUACGAAAUGCGUUCAUAAAAAAGAGUAAAACAUUCAAACGGCACGAAUCUUUGACAUUAAGGUUGGCAUCAUUUAAAACAAAGCAAAGACACUAUGGCGACGAGUAUCAAUAAUGUUCAGAAAUCUGACCAAGAGGAAGAAUUAAAGAGCAGAGAUAUACCUGAUGUCGGAGAAGAAACUGCCACGUCCAAAUCUAUUCCUAAAGAAA